ACCACAACACUCGAUUGGGGGCAGUUAACUGCCGGGAGAAAAACAUGUCUAAGGGCAAAGAAUCUGCCGAGACAUCAGUUACUGCCACUAAAAGCACAUUAGGGUAGGCCAACUGCCGGGAGAACUUAAGCAACACCGGCGCAGAAACCGCCGGUACACUUUACGACCCAAACACUGCCAGGAUAACUAAAUCUCGGCCCAUGAUCCGCUGGAGACCGUCUUCGCCGCGAGACCGAAUAUCGGCCCUAAGCGCGCGCGGUAAGGAAAAAAACCGCGCGACUUGCGAAAAUUUUGGCACACAAAAGAAACAUACGCGUCGGCCCUACCUCUACCAGACCGCAAUAGCCAUCCCCAAAUCAUGCCCAACCCCCACUCGUGCCCUCCGCCAGAUCCGCCACUGCCCCCCCGCCCCUAGAGCUUCCCACUGCCGCCCCCGUCGACCCCAGAGCUUUCCACCACCGACGAGCGGCCACCUUCCACUCGAUCAGACCACUGCCGGCGUACCUCCCCACCAUCGCAGCUCCUCUGCCGCCCACAAAUCCACCGGACUGCAACCCGCCGCCGCCGCCAACCAUCCCACCGCCGACGGCCGCCCUCCAACCAGAUCACUGCCGCCAUCACCCCCCAUCACGGCAGCCCCUUCGCUCCUCCGCCUCCCCAACAACCACCCCACCGCCGCUGACCACUGUCGCGUUGCCCCACUCCAAAGCAGCGCGGCCAAGCACCUGAUUGACGGGGAGCAGCACCGUCGUCGCCGAGCUACUCCACCGGCGGCAAUCAUCCUCCAUGGAACAACUUCCUCGCCACCAACCUACUCGCGCACUUCCUCGCCGAGCAGGCCUCCCCGCAAGCUUCACCGAGCACCAAGCCGCGGGUCUGCCUCCUUCACACGCCCCCGAAGCAGCAGACCGUCGACCCUCCUCUCGUGCAAGCAGCUUUGCCUCCUCAACAUCGUUUCCCUGGACAUCGCUGCCUCUUUGACAGGUGAGAUUUUGUUGCAAUUUCAUUGCCUUUUUUUGUUCUGAAUGUGCAGCUAUGCAAUUGCCUUAAUUAGAUUUGUUGACACCUGACUAAGUUGUUUAGUUGAGCUUUGGAGUUCAUUUUAAUUUGAGAUGAAAGAAAGCUAAUUAUUUAAGUCUUUGUUUGUUUAGUUGAUGCCCCAAUGUAAUACAUCCAUUUUAUUGUGCUGGAGUAUAGAGAGAAGGGAUUACUGUGUUCGGUCUGGUCUAUGAAGAGAGAUGAGGAUUAUUGUUAUUCACUUCAGUUAGGUUCAAUUAGGAAUACCUGAACAUUUUAGUGCUAAUAUUGUUAUUCCAGUACAGAACUAAUUUCAGAAUGACCAAAUUUGUGGUCAUACACUCUGCAUUCUCAACAUCAAGGUACUCCAAUUCUCCUUGUUGAGAAAAAUACUCCUUGUACUAGUCUAACUCAAUGCAGGGCAGAUAGUGGUGCCUCAUAAUGUCACUCCAUUGCCCAUGGGGGCAAUUUCAUUGCCCCAGUGCAUGUAGAUGCAGGGGCAGGAGGUAAAGAUGCAAAAGCUCUUUUUAACCACCUGUAAGGCAGUGUGCAAUGCAAGACCUGCAUUAGUUAGUGGAUUAAGGCACAAGACCAGCUUCAGGGUUUAAGGCUUAAGCCAAGAGGAGAAAGAAACGGCUUUGCAUAUGAAAAGAUACCAUCAUUAUUGUUUCCAUGAAAUUGGUAAUAUAUGUGGCAUGUGUUCAUCUUUUCUGCAAGAGCAACUUGUGUCCUGAGACCUUCUAGUGGUACCGACACCCAUAAACUGUCUUCUUGCAUGAUCAGUUACUGAAAAUAGGGACAAUCAGCGUUACUUCUGAGUACUUAGGAGUAGUUAAGGUAUCUAAGUUAUUAUUGGUACUGUUACAAUGUGCUUGUAUUGAACCAUCUAUCCAAGUUUAUUACUAACUCUAUAUGUGUUUCUCUGCACCUAUGCUUGCCUAUACGUCUAUUUGCUUUAUGGACAUGACUCUUGUGUUUGUUUGCUUGUUAUACUAUGACAAUUGCAAUGCUUAUUUAGGCUACUAGGUUGUGUGCUUGUGCUUGUGGUAAACAAACUGAAGGUACAUGUUUGAUCCCUGUACAUCUUGUUGUAAACUUUGUGCAACCUACCACCGCUCAACAUGAGGUGCUGCAAGAGAAUGAAACAUACUUUUUUGCAAAAGAAGGCAGCAGGGCGCACACAACAAAUUGGAAGUGGACAAGCGCAUGGCAAAAGCAGGAAUGCGACCACAAGCAAGCGGAUGAGGUUUUGCUACAGAAGUUGUCCGAGGUUUGGAAGAUCUUCAAGCUGCUGAAGAUUUGGAAGACCUACGAUUAAGUUGGUGCAGUGAUCAUGUAAUAUGCUUUGUUUGUUGAACCUGGACACUUGCUAUGCUCAUUUUGCUGGUUAAGCCACUAUAUGCUCAUUUCAGUUGUGUGGCACCCUCAGAAAGAUAUGUACUUUCUCCUUUUGUGGCACUACUUUAGUUUGGUUGUGGCACAUUUAACAUAUAUGUACUGUACUUGUGGAGAACCUCCCGAAAUAUAUAUAUGGUUAUUAUGUUUAUCGGAUGAA
Molecule: long non-coding RNA, 2572 nt
Organism: Aegilops tauschii subsp. strangulata
Lineage: Eukaryota; Viridiplantae; Streptophyta; Magnoliopsida; Poales; Poaceae
Source: RefSeq, a predicted model, not a curated record